GAUGAAGAACGUAGCGAAAUGCGAUAAGUAAUGUGAAUUGCAGAAUUCAGUGAAUCAUCGAAUCUUUGAACGCACAUUUCGCCCGCCAGCACUCUGGCGGGCAUGCCUGUUCGAGCGUCAUUUCAACCAUCAAGCCCCCAGGGGCUUGUGCUGGGGCCCUGCGGCUGCCCGCAGGCCCUGAAAACCAGUGGCGGGCUCGCUAGUCACACCGAGCGCAGUAGCACAUCUCGCUCAGGGCGUGCGGCGGGCUCCUGCCGUGAAACCCCCCACUGUAACCCCAAAGGUUGACCUCGGAUCAGGUAGGAAUACCCGCUGAACUUAAGCAUAUCAAUAAGCGGAGGA
This 342-nucleotide unclassified non-coding RNA is filed under the name soil metagenome. RNAcentral describes it as "partial contains 5.8S ribosomal RNA, internal transcribed spacer 2, and large subunit ribosomal RNA". The stretch from base 1 to 120 matches the Rfam family "5.8S ribosomal RNA", at positions 35 to 154 of the family's 154-position model. The record is from RNAcentral.